GAUGAACGCUAGCUACAGGCUUAACACAUGCAAGUCGAGGGGCAGCAUGGUCUUAGCUUGCUAAGACUGAUGGCGACCGGCGCACGGGUGAGUAACACGUAUCCAACCUGCCGUCUACUCUUGGACAGCCUUCUGAAAGGAAGAUUAAUACAAGAUGGCAUCAUGAGUCCGCAUGUUCACAUGAUUAAAGGUAUUCCGGUAGACGAUGGGGAUGCGUUCCAUUAGAUAGUAGGCGGGGUAACGGCCCACCUAGUCUUCGAUGGAUAGGGGUUCUGAGAGGAAGGUCCCCCACAUUGGAACUGAGACACGGUCCAAACUCCUACGGGAGGCAGCAGUGAGGAAUAUUGGUCAAUGGACGAGAGUCUGAACCAGCCAAGUAGCGUGAAGGAUGACUGCCCUAUGGGUUGUAAACUUCUUUUAUACGGGAAUAAACCCUCCCACGUGUGGGAGCUUGUAUGUACCUUAUGAAUAAGCAUCGGCUAACUCCGUG
Molecule: ribosomal RNA, 490 nt
Filed under: uncultured bacterium
Lineage: Bacteria
Description: bacterial SSU rRNA
Rfam family: Bacterial small subunit ribosomal RNA
Source: RNAcentral